CGGGACGGGUGAGUAAUGUCUGGGAAACGUGCCUGAUGGAGGGGGAUAACACUGGAAACGGUAGCUAAUACCGCAUAACGUCGCAAGACCAAAGAGGGGGACCUUCGGGCCUCUUGCCAUCGGAUGUGCCCAGAUGGGAUUAGCUAGUAGGUGGGGUAACGGCUCACCUAGGCGACGAUCCCUAGCUGGUCUGAGAGGAUGACCAGCCACACUGGAACUGAGACACGGUCCAG
This 233-nucleotide ribosomal RNA is filed under the name uncultured bacterium. RNAcentral describes it as "partial 16S ribosomal RNA". It matches the Rfam family "Bacterial small subunit ribosomal RNA", at positions 100 to 334 of the family's 1533-position model. The record is from RNAcentral.